RNAcentral lists this long non-coding RNA (263 nucleotides) under Olea europaea (common olive). RNAcentral describes it as "long non-coding RNA (OEUR_LNC014293)". The record is from RNAcentral. Lineage: Eukaryota; Viridiplantae; Streptophyta; Magnoliopsida; Lamiales; Oleaceae.
GUACUUUGGGUGAUAGACAUAGCUCAAUGAUCUUCCCAAGCCUCAUCUCCGGAAUUUGCAUAGCUGCUGGUAUAAACAUUGUAUCCGGGGAGGUGGCUGCCAAACACAGCCCCACCAUAAAGCGCAGUACUUUGGAGGCCCAAGACAGAGCCAGGUUAAAGCAUUGGGAGAAGCAAGAAAUUGAGAGGUGCAGACAGCAGGGAGAGCAAGGUCACGAGCAAGCCGAGCAAGAAAUGCCUCAAGCUCCUCCAUCACAGGCUGAG